RNAcentral lists this ribosomal RNA (515 nucleotides) under uncultured bacterium. Its description in RNAcentral is "bacterial SSU rRNA". It matches the Rfam family "Bacterial small subunit ribosomal RNA", at positions 501 to 1012 of the family's 1533-position model. The record is from RNAcentral.
CUACGUGCCAGCAGCCGCGGUCAUACGUAGGAUCCGAGCGUUAUCCGGAGUGACUGGGCGUAAAGAGUUGCGUAGGUGGUUUAAUAAGCGAAUAGUGAAAUCUGGUGGCUCAACCAUUCAGACUAUUAUUCGAACUGUUAAACUCGAGAGCAGAAGAGGUAGCUGGAAUUUCUAGUGUAGGAGUGAAAUCCGUAGAUAUUAGAAGGAACACCGAUGGCGUAGGCAGGCUACUGGGCUGUUUCUGACACUGAGGCACGAAAGCGUGGGGAGCGAACCGGAUUAGAUACCCGGGUAGUCCACGCCGUAAACGAUGGAUACUAGCUGUUUGGGGUAUCGACCCCCUGAGUAGCGAAGCUAACGCGUUAAGUAUCCCGCCUGUGGAGUACGAUCGCAAGAUUAAAACAUAAAGGAAUUGACGGGGACCCGCACAAGCGGUGGAUUAUGUUCUUUAAUUCGAUGAUAACCGAUAAACCUUACCAGGUCUUGACAUCCUUGGAAUCUUUCAGAAAUGAGAG